Molecule: long non-coding RNA, 358 nt
Organism: Bombus pascuorum
Lineage: Eukaryota; Metazoa; Arthropoda; Insecta; Hymenoptera; Apidae
Exons: 2
Source: RefSeq, a predicted model, not a curated record
ACCUUGUGUAAAUAAGUACAUAUGUAUAUAUCUCUGGUAUAUACUAUAUGACUUCUAUCAUCAAUAGACCUUGGCCUUACACACAGAUGAACUAUAGAAUAUACUUGAUGGUAUGAUAUAAAGUAUAAUAGGAUGUUUACAAAAUUCUCACAAAUGUACGUACAUAUUUAUUAUGUUAUAUCGAUUUUGUUGAUUAGUCUGUUAACAAAUUUUUGUGCGUAUUUAUUAUUCCUUUUAAAACUUCAUAUAUCCGUUCAUGAGAGUGCAUAACCUCAAGUGUAAGAAAAAUUUGUGUCAGGUGGAUGUAUAAUAUAGUAUGUAGAUAUAUAAAAAGAAAAAAGAAAAAAACUUCUUUGAA